This 429-nucleotide ribosomal RNA is filed under the name uncultured bacterium. RNAcentral's name for it is "bacterial SSU rRNA". It matches the Rfam family "Bacterial small subunit ribosomal RNA", at positions 335 to 755 of the family's 1533-position model. The record is from RNAcentral.
ACUCCUACGGGAGGCAGCAGUGGGGAAUAUUGCACAAUGGGCGCAAGCCUGAUGCAGCCAUGCCGCGUGUGUGAAGAAGGCCUUCGGGUUGUAAAGCACUUUCAGUUGUGAGGAAGGUGGUGUCGUUAAUAGCGGCAUCAUUUGACGUUAGCAACAGAAGAAGCACCGGCUAACUCCGUGCCAGCAGCCGCGGUAAUACGGAGGGUGCGAGCGUUAAUCGGAAUUACUGGGCGUAAAGCGCAUGCAGGUGGUUUGUUAAGUCAGAUGUGAAAGCCCGGGGCUCAACCUCGGAACUGCAUUUGAAACUGGCAGACUAGAGUACUGUAGAGGGGGGUAGAAUUUCAGGUGUAGCGGUGAAAUGCGUAGAGAUCUGAAGGAAUACCGGUGGCGAAGGCGGCCCCCUGGACAGAUACUGACACUCAGAUAGCG